RNAcentral lists this ribosomal RNA (458 nucleotides) under uncultured bacterium. RNAcentral describes it as "partial 16S ribosomal RNA". It matches the Rfam family "Bacterial small subunit ribosomal RNA", at positions 338 to 795 of the family's 1533-position model. The record is from RNAcentral.
CCUACGGGUGGCAGCAGUGAGGAAUAUUGGUCAAUGGGCGAGAGCCUGAACCAGCCAAGUCGCGUGAGGGAGUACUGCCCUAUGGGUUGUAAACCUCUUUUGUCGGGGAGCAAAAGCCGGACGUGUCCGGCUGUGAGAGUACCCGAAGAAAAAGCAUCGGCUAACUCCGUGCCAGCAGCCGCGGUAAUAUGGAGGAUGCGAGCGUUAUCCGGAUUUAUUGGGUUUAAAGGGUGCGCAGGCGGAUUUUUAAGUCAGCGGUAAAAUCGUGGGGCUCAACCCCAUCCAGCCGUUGAAACUGGGGAUCUAGAGUGUGCGAGAGGUAUGCGGAAUGCGUGGUGUAGCGGUGAAAUGCAUAGAUAUCACGCAGAACCCCGAUUGCGAAGGCAGCAUACCGGUGCACAACUGACGCUCAGGCACGAAAGCGUGGGUAUCGAACAGGAUUAGAUACCCUAGUAGUC